Long non-coding RNA from Macaca fascicularis (crab-eating macaque), 1661 nucleotides. The record is from Ensembl. Lineage: Eukaryota; Metazoa; Chordata; Mammalia; Primates; Cercopithecidae.
ACUGUGCACAAUAAAGUUUUCACAAGUAUAAACAACGGUGAUAUAAGUCAACAGUGCUGUAGCCAGGUGUGAAGGUAUGGUGUGUGAUGAUUGUACAUCGUGUUUGUAGCUUUGGAUGCUAAUCUUGAAUUGUAGUUUAAAAUAUGUAUGUAUUUUUGUAACUCUUUGAAAGCUUAUGAAGACUGACAGCUUUCCUUGUAAGCACUAAGACAAAAAAAGAAGAGGGACAUUUGACAAUUUUAAAGAAACAAGAAGAAAUUAGAAUGAAAAGCUGUGACAAACAGUGUCAGUGUGGCCAUGUCCACAUUCCUCCAUGUCUCUCUCUACAGGCACCUUUCUAAGAAGCCUGACAUCCCGGUAGACUCUUUAUAGUAAUGUACGCUUGAUUCCAGAUGAGCCCUGAUCUUAUCUGGAUGCUCCGAUAAGAGGUUUCCAUCUGAGCAUCCAGAUGCUCCCUCAGAUUCCAAGACAUUUCACCCGAGGCCCUAGAUUCACUCGGGAAUUCGUACACUUCACGUCUUUCUAGAAAUGAGGUGUAAAAUUUAAGACCAGACCUCAGCCAUCAGUGUCCAGACCAUCCUGGAAGUCUUUCCCAACCUCACAGAGAAAGCCCUAGUAUUUCCCAGUGACCCCAGGAUUCCAUGUUGGGGCGGCCAAAGAAAUAGGUCUCUUCGGGCUUUGCCACAGCCUGCAGCCCAUCCUUCGGAGGCACACACAGCACCUCUGGGCUGCUCCAGCUCUGUGGGAUAGCCUCCCCUGGGGUCCGUGGGAUGUGGGCCACAGUGUUGAGGGAGACAAGGAGGAUCAAUCAGAGGCCUCUUGCCUCUCCACAGAGACUGGAUUGUCAUUGUUCCUUCAUUUAUGUUGCAGGGCUUAACAUUUCACUCAAAAAAAGCCCUUCUUUUUCUAAUCCUUAGUCUUUGUUUCAAGGAAAGCCAGUUUUUCUUUUACCACAUUUUCCAGGAUCAACUUUAAGAAAAACGCAACAUCUAUUGAAAAAAAGUGGGAUGUAUGCAUGUGGUUUAAUUCCAGAUUGCUUUUGGGUUUAAGUGGUAUCAAAUUUCAGUAUAUUUCUGUCUUACGUGAAAGAAAUAUAUUACUAAAACGUCAGUGAGCAAUAAUGUCAGCUGUCGAGCACUAGAUUUAUUUUUGCAGGAUAUGGAGUGCAAUGAACUGAGUCAAUAUGGCGAGGUGUAUGUGAUCUGUGGGAGUUAUGCCAUUUAACAUAGGAAGUGCAUGGGACUUUCCCUCUCUGCACUCCAGCUCUUACUGUACCAUUAGAAAAUGCAAAAAGUACAGCCCUACGUUCAAACAGAAUGGAUCUGAAGAAAGCAAUAUCUGUUGUAUUAGAGAACAUUCCCAUGUGUUUAUACUCUUCACUUCUUAGAUGCAUUUAAAUUCUUAAUGCAAAUGACGUAGCAAUUUGAAAACUUCUCCGUAUUAAUUGUGUUUAAAAGUCUUGCUUUAAAUAAAAAAAAAAAUGGUAACAGGGAUUAUCUUUUGUUUUGAAGGUUAAAUAUUAUUUUUGCCUUAGAUAGCUUUGUAAUAAUUUUUCUCCAGACAGUUCAAAACUUUUGAAAAAUGACAUGAAUUUUCAUUAAAAACCCUUUUCCUAUGUUUAUUGUAUACAAUAAUUAUGCAAUAAAAUUUCUUUAUAAAAA